UUGUGUAGCCCUGAAGACCAUACCAUGC
RNAcentral lists this non-coding RNA (28 nucleotides) under Mus musculus (house mouse). Lineage: Eukaryota; Metazoa; Chordata; Mammalia; Rodentia; Muridae. The record is from RNAcentral.